Molecule: ribosomal RNA, 256 nt
Filed under: uncultured bacterium
Lineage: Bacteria
Description: partial 16S ribosomal RNA
Rfam family: Bacterial small subunit ribosomal RNA
Source: RNAcentral
CGGAGGGGCUAGCGUUGUUCGGAAUUACUGGGCGUAAAAGCGCACGUAGGCGGCUUUUAAGUCAGAGGUGAAAGCCCGGGGCUCAACUCCGGAACUGCCUUUGAGACUGGGAGGCUUUGAACGUCGGGAGAGGUGAGUGGAAUUCCGAGUGUAGAGGUGAAAUUCGUAGAUAUUCGGAAGAACACCAGUGGCGAAGGCGGCUCACUGGACGACUGUUGACGCUGAGGUGCGAAAGCGUGGGGAGCAAAACAGGAUU